GCCAGGCAUGGUGGCUCAUGCCUGUAAUCCCAGCACUUCGGGAGGCAGAGGCAGGCGGAUCACCUGAGGUCAGGAGUUUGAGACCAACCUGGCCAACAUGGUGAAACCCUGUCUCUA
RNAcentral lists this non-coding RNA (117 nucleotides) under Nomascus leucogenys (northern white-cheeked gibbon). The record is from Rfam by way of RNAcentral. Lineage: Eukaryota; Metazoa; Chordata; Mammalia; Primates; Hylobatidae.